AGUGAACGCUGGCGGUAGGCCUAACACAUGCAAGUCGAACGGCAGCACAGUAAGAGCUUGCUCUUACGGGUGGCGAGUGGCGGACGGGUGAGGAAUACAUCGGAAUCUACUUUUUCGUGGGGGAUAACGUAGGGAAACUUACGCUAAUACCGCAUACGACCUACGGGUGAAAGCAGGGGAUCUUCGGACCUUGCGCGAUUGAAUGAGCCGAUGUCGGAUUAGCUAGUUGGCGGGGUAAAGGCCCACCAAGGCGACGAUCCGUAGCUGGUCUGAGAGGAUGAUCGGCCACACUGGAACUGGAACACGGUCCAGACUCCUACGGGAGGCAGCAGUGGGGAAUAUUGGACAAUGGGCGCAAGCCUGAUCCAGCCAUACCGCGUGGGUGAAGGAGGCCUUCGGGUUGUAAAGCCCUUUUGUUGGGAGAGAAAAGCAGCAGGUUAAUACCCCGCUGUUCUGACGGUACCCAAAGAAUAAGCACCGGCUAACUUCGUG
RNAcentral lists this ribosomal RNA (492 nucleotides) under uncultured bacterium. RNAcentral's name for it is "partial 16S ribosomal RNA". It matches the Rfam family "Bacterial small subunit ribosomal RNA", at positions 29 to 507 of the family's 1533-position model. The record is from RNAcentral.